RNAcentral lists this ribosomal RNA (378 nucleotides) under uncultured eukaryote. Its description in RNAcentral is "partial 18S ribosomal RNA". It matches the Rfam family "Eukaryotic small subunit ribosomal RNA", at positions 592 to 975 of the family's 1831-position model. The record is from RNAcentral.
CAAUAGCGUAUAUUAAAGUUGUUGCGGUUAAAAAGCUCGUAGUUGGAUUUCUGCUGAGAACGACCGGUCCGCCCUCUGGGUGUGUAUCUGGCUCUUUCUUGGCAUCUUCUUGGUGAACGUUGCUGCACUUGACUGUGUGGAGCGCUACCCAGGACUUUUACUUUGAGGAAAUUAGAGUGUUUCAAGCAGGCAUACGCCUUGAAUACAUUAGCAUGGAAUAAUAAGAUAGGACGUAGGUACUAUUUUGUUGGUUUGCGCACCCACGUAAUGAUUAAUAGAGACAGGCGGGGCUAUUCGUAUUGCAUUGUCAGAGGUGAAAUUCUUGGAUUUCUGCAAGACGAACUACUGCGAAAGCAUUUAGCAAGGAUGUUUNCAUUA